GGCGCGGCCGUUGGCGAGCGGCGCGCGCGGGCCGCGGGGGAGGGGCGUUCGGAUCGGAACCCGGCCCGAGCGGUCUCCUCGAGGCUCCCUCCGCACAAUGAGCCUGUGUGGACGGAGAGGAGAAGGGGCAGCGCGGCGGGGAAGCCAGCUCAGUGCGCCUGCGCCGACGGCACCGCCAGCCGGGCACAUCCGCACCGCGGUGAUGGGUCGCACCACGUGAUCCAAAAGCGGGAACUUUUUGAUCCUUCCGCCGAGAGCACAUCCACACUGGGGGCAGUAGCAUCAACAAAGCAAUGCAUUGUGGGGAGCUACCCCUCAGUUCAGCUCUCCACCUUCAAGUUUUGCAAGGAAGUACUUGUGAUUUUUGUGGCCUAGGACUCAAUGUAAGCAAAUGAUUAAACUGCUUGUUUACUUGUUGCUGCCAUCUCCUGUCACAAUUUCCAGGAAACAAAUAAAAAGUGCUUAUCAUUCAAAAAA
Long non-coding RNA from Chrysemys picta bellii (western painted turtle), 477 nucleotides. RefSeq lists it as uncharacterized. Lineage: Eukaryota; Metazoa; Chordata; Testudines; Emydidae. The record is from RefSeq and is a predicted model, not a curated record.